AGAGUAGGAAUAUGAGCGUUAAGUGUUGCCCGAACGGGGAGUUGUCGGGCAGACGAAAAGCUGUAUGGCUUGCGGUUCAUAUUUCGCAUCCCGCU
RNAcentral lists this non-coding RNA (95 nucleotides) under uncultured Monoglobus sp. RNAcentral's name for it is "THF riboswitch". It matches the Rfam family "THF (Tetrahydrofolate) riboswitch aptamer". Rfam says of the family: THF riboswitch presents a pseudoknot that joins P1-P2 and the loop of P3 and two THF binding. Lineage: Bacteria; Bacillati; Bacillota; Clostridia; Monoglobales; Monoglobaceae. The record is from RNAcentral.